GGAAGCUCUUCCGGUAUUAGUUUCAAGCGGACCGCGCCGGCUUCAGGUGAGUCUCUCGGGUUCUUUUUCGCUGUGGCUGGUCUCAGGGUUUGGCGGGAUCCGCCCCGUCCGCGGUAACUGAGCCGGCGAGGGCGAAGGUGUCGUCGGUUGCGUGGUCCUCGGUCCGCGGACGUAUAGGAGGAAGGGACGGCGACCCCAGGGCUGGCGGAAUGAGGCCCGGCGUCACAGCCUGUUCUCUGCAGGAUGGUUGGGUUUUUAAUGUCAGAGGACCCUGGUGUUGGGUGGAUUGGCCGGUGUGUAAAGAGGCUCAAGCGGACACAUAGGAAUUAGCCCAGGGGGAGAGAAUGGCCCGUGACUUGCUUGGAGGAGCAGGGUGUGCAGUUCACUGUGCACUCUCGGCCUCUUCUCCCCGGCAGCCUUUGGGUUUCUGGUGCCCUUGCACUAUUUCAGCCCAAAGGAGCUAAUGCCAGAGCCUGUGCUCUUGUCCCUCUCUUGAGUCCCAGCCCUUCUCCAGGUUCCCAUGUAGAGAGGCAAGCCUGUGAGAAACGUUACCUAUUAUCCGUUGCCUACAUAGUACAGGCCCUUCCUAUAAGUUGUUCAGAGCAGCUUGUUGUGUGACGUUAAGACACUUGUGUCCUUUAACGAGUGAUAGCUAUCGAUAAUAAAUAGUAACUGUAGAUGCUAACUGGUGCAGACUGAUACAUAUCUGUCUCAUAAUUUUAUAGGCUCCAUUUUAUAGGUGCUGUUAGUAGCCAUAAUUUGUAGCUGGGGACUUGAGACAUUAAGGAACUUGCCCCCCAUCGAAGUAGGUUGUAAAAUCGUAAACAGAACUUAAAUCCGUAUCUUAUUGAUACAAGAAUCUGAGCUCUGAACUGUCAACCUUGACCACUCUUGAGACUCACAUAGUGGGAAAGAGACAGAAGUGAAAGCCCCUGAGAGGUCGUUCUCUGACCUCAACAUACACGAUGGCACAGGUAAACAAACACACACACACACACUAAUCGUUUAAAUCAAUACAUUCAUGAGUGCAUCUAUGAACUGUCUUAAUUUGUAUUGUUCUAUUACAAUGACUUUUUAAAACUAGGUGCGUGUUUACUGAUCUUUCACAAAAUGUUCAAAUCAUUUUACUGAAAAACCAUUUUCUGGUGAAUAUGAUCAAAACACAUGACAUUCUCAAAGAAUUAAUAAAUAUACUUUCGAAAGUUAUGUCAUUAUGUAGAUGAAAGGACAGUAUCAUUUAAGUGGGGAUAAAAGAAGUAUAUAACCUUGAAUAAUAUGUUUUUAAAUCUGCCUAUGUAUUGACAGAUUCUACCAAUUUGUAGAACCUUGGUAUUGUCCUUCCAAGGUUUGAUCUUGAGAGCUGUUUUCCAUUUGACUAAAAGAGAUGGCUGUGGGAGGUAGGGCGGGGUGAUUAAGAGUUGUGUCAUGCUGUACACCUGCGUGAUUUAACCCUCUUUGCUAAUAACUGAUUAUUUAUUAUUUCUUUUAGGCUAUUGGAAGGGUUCUACCCAAACAUGGAUAUCAGACCAAAUCACACGAUUUAUAUCAACAACAUGAAUG
RNAcentral lists this long non-coding RNA (1560 nucleotides) under Mus musculus (house mouse). Its description in RNAcentral is "long non-coding RNA chr2:143063052-143064612". Lineage: Eukaryota; Metazoa; Chordata; Mammalia; Rodentia; Muridae. The record is from RNAcentral.